This is a long non-coding RNA of Chroicocephalus ridibundus (black-headed gull), 7770 nucleotides long. RefSeq lists it as uncharacterized. The record is from RefSeq and is a predicted model, not a curated record. Lineage: Eukaryota; Metazoa; Chordata; Aves; Charadriiformes; Laridae. The transcript has 14 exons.
GGGGGAACAGAGCGGAGCGGAGCGGCGGGGAACGGCGCCGUCCGCCGGGCGGAGGAGCGCGGGGCGGGCGGCGGCGGCGGGUGCCGGUGCACGGGAGAGGGGAGCAGGGCGCUCCCCGCGCGGGGUCGGAGCCCCGGCGCCGCCGCCCGCCCCGGAUCCCUAGGCUCCGCCGGGCGGGGCCUGUCUUUUCAGAGGCUUUGCUGUGACCAGUAGGAGAAUAUGAAUAGGACGAGUAGGGUGCUGGGAGUCCUCAUCAAGGCAUGCGGUUAUUUGCGUGCUGAGGAGGUGGGUGUCGUGUACCAGCCAGCCAGCAGCCCAGGGACGCCUAAGCCACCUGAGCCAGCACCAUCAAGGAACCUUCUAUGCGUGGUGGACUCCAAGAUGUAGCAACCCCCUUCUUGGAGGCUACAGAAACAGAGUUCGAGCCCUCUCCACACAGGGAAUUCUUCCUGAAGGUUCAUCCAGGGGACUCCAUCUAUCCCACAGCAUCCCACCUGCUGCUUUGGAGGGGGAAGGUCUCAAAAGCUGAAUUGCUCUAAAUUCACAUGCCAAAGCAGAAAUUAUUUUUCCUGACUGUGCCCUGCGCUCAGCUAUCAGUCUUGCCUGCAAUGCUGUACAGCAGAUAUUGCUGUGGAAAAGCCUGGGUGGUGAGAGACACAUAGUUUCUGUUCACCUGCUUGAGCAUCAAGUGGUGUCAACUGGAACGACUGGAGAAGGACAUCUCUUUUCCCCGUCCUCUGGUAUCAGGUUUAUGAACCUUUCUGCAGCAAGAUUUGAAACCACCAGAUUCCAGCUUAGAUCAAGGUCCCUAGGAUUCACUUGUGAUUUCCACAGCGUGGCUCCACUGCGCACAAGGAAAUUACAUGAGGUUCAGGCUGGAGUGAGUAAAGAAGACUUUGUCCCCAGCUAACACCUCAGGAACCUAAAUCUCUCCAAGUGUCGGGCUCCCCAGGGAGAGGUCAGCAGCUCCCAGGGUGCGUUGAGCAGAUUGGACAUCGAGACAUCUGCGUUGCGUUAGGGGAAACAUGAUCUUCCUGGAGGCUCCGCAGCUCUAACACAGCCUACAACUGGCAAUCUUCACUUGCAUUUUGCAAACCUGUGAAACAGAUUUGCUCCUCUUCCUGACUGACAACGUUUUUGAAAGGCGCAUUUUCCAACCCUUCGUGGCUGGCUUCGCUGGGCCCUUUGGAGAGCGGUCUGCUGUUUUCUGGUUGGAGUAUUUUUAAUAGUCUGCAUUAUUAAAUGGAAAACAAACUACAGGCAUGGCCAUUAAUUCUUCUUGGGAAAGGACAGCCUGCCUUCUUCAAGCACCCAGACCUGCUGCAGAAUAUGCGAGAUCUCCAUGUGCAUGUUAUGAAAUAUUUCAUUCCAAACACAAGUACAAGAUAAAUGCAGUUGGAGCGGAUCUUGACUUGCAUCAAGAAAUCAAAGCAGGCGUGAAGAGCUUUUUGCCCAACCUCACCCGAGAAAGGAAACCGAUUUAUAGAAAAUCCAGAAUAAGAUAUUGUUUCAACUGGAAAAAAGAAUUGGGGGACACGCCACCAUCAGGCUGUAAAACUGAUCCACCCAAGCUCAGGCCCAGCUGGGAGAGGGACGGCCCUUCUGCAAGAGAUGGAUCCUCUUCAGAAACAUAUUCCCUGCCUGAACAGAACAAAGGUCUGUGUCGUCUUCUUCAGGAGCAACCCCUGUUCAACUGGGAUGCCACAGAUUUGCCUCUGGGGCCAACCUGAGCUGCACUAGAACGUGGAGGAGGCUGGUUUCAGGUCAGAAAACAGAACAAGCGUGAUCUCAUCCCCAUGCCAGUUUCUCCACAUUACAAAGUCACCGCAAGACGUGACGACACAUUGUUCCUGCUCCGGGAGGAUGGGACUGAGAGCUUGUCUGCACCGCUUGGAAGAACAAACUGGAAGGAACAAACACACACAAGCAAUCUCGAGAUCUCAAGAUGAUUAACAACGCUGGAUAUUCAUCAACCUUAUUUCGCAAAUGGAGUAACCGUGAUGUAAUGAGGUGAAGAAAUUUGCUUGAUAUCAUUGAAUCAAUUAGUGUCCAUACAAGGAUUAGAACACAUUUCCUUAUUCCUGGUGCCAUCCGUAAUCCACUGCACAAGAGCGCCAAACCCACUUCUUAUUACCAUUCACAUGUUUCAACAGACUAGAGCAUCAAAGGACUAGGCAUUAAGUAUUCUUCACUUUUCAGAGUUUUUUUAACAAACUCUGUUAUGACUAAAAAGAGGACUUCAGCACCUGGAGAAAAAAGCCCAUGAUGUGCGCUCUUUCUACCUCUCCAUUCCCUCACUCCAUCCUCCUUAAGAAUCGUGAGUCCAACCAAGCGUUAAGGCCUGCAGUGACAUUGCUAUGACAGAUUUUUGCAGUUCAUGACACUUGCAGGAACAUAGCACAUAGCCAACACAGCUGUGAUACAGGAUUUUGCAUUUGUUCUUGUUGAAUUUCAUAAAGGCCACUGCUCCAGCCUCAGUAUUUCUGAGUGGCAGCUUUUUCCAGUGAUAAUGAUUUGGAUUGUGGCUUAUUGCAAUGGGAAUCCUUCAAGCACAAUGCCUUGUUUCAGGGGUGGCUUUGCUUGAGUAAGGACUGUUGUUAUUUAGCUUAGACUAUCAUGGCCUUUUAGGGACUGAAAUUCAGAUUGUUCAAAGGCUCAAACAAAUUCAAGACAAGGCUGAUAUUUACGCAGAGGUGAUAGGUUUUGGUAGUCCUUUUAAGCUUCAGGAAGCCACUGAGGAGAAUAAAAUAAUAAUACAGAUGCUAAGAUGGUAAGAAUGGUCUUUGUCUUAUUUAGUGAAUUUGGAAGCAGUCUGGACAUCAAAUUUCUUUGCCUCUGUUGUUUUCUUCUAAGCACCUUUACAAUGCACUAUUGUAUAUUUUUUAAAAACUCUGGUAAUGCUCAUAAAAUUUAUGGAGAAAAACAUUGCUGAAUUACUCUUUUCUUCUUGUUUUAGAACCUGCGAAAAUAAGCUUAUAAAACUCUAACACAUCUUUAACUUCCAUGCCUUCCAAGAUAUUCUGAUACUUUUUCUUUGCAACGCAGCAUGGAGGAGACUGGGGACAAGUGCUUUCAAGUUUACUCAUUAUCUGAGCUGUGAUGUCAGCUUGUAAUUCAGGUUCUGUGUCAUCUGGGAAAAGCUGUAGAAUGCUCAUCUCUGCCCCCUGCACCCACCCAGAUGUGGUAUCAGAUUCUGAUCGCUUUAAUCAUUGAAACUUUUUGCUAUUAUUUGAAUUAGGAUACUGUCUGGAUAGAUUCCUUACAGACCAGAAUGUCACUAUGCUAUAUGUUACCCAGCUUUUUCUGCCCUGUAUUUGCAGAUCCCCAAAUGGCUUAAUUUACCAUGUGUUAUUCCCUACAAACGUAACUUAAGAACAAAGGAAGAAGGAUUGUCCUGCAGUCAUGAUCUUACCAUCAGCGGUCUGUCAAAAAUUUUUUUUCUUUUACAGUUGAGUGGGCUAGUGCCAGUAACUACUGCAGAGAGGAAUUCGUCCGGGCUGGAAUGACGGUCAGUGGGGACUGUGAGGGUGUAGCGUUUCCUUUUAGUAUUUCAGCAAGAUGAGGCUGAAAGGUAUUAAGUCUAAUGAUUUACAAAGCAAAAACAGGGUUACAAGGUUCCUAUCUACGUGCAACUGUAUAUGAGUCAUGGAAGGAAGUAAAACACAUUACACAUUCUACAGGGUAAAGUCAUAUGAACUUGUCACUUGGGGUUUCCGGGUACACAACACAAGUCUCUGUCAGGUUCCUGUUACUGACUUUAUUUCACAUCCCACAGCUUGUCUUUGUGAACACUGGCCAAAGUAAAAUGCUAGAUCUAACUACCGUUUUCAGUUAUGCUGACGUGACCUAAAUGCACAUUCUAUGUAAAAACUCUGGCAAUUUGCUAGGAAGACAGUCCUCAAAGCGCUGUGCUCGAGAACUUUGAUGACCGAGCAUGAGACCACCAGCUCUGGGAAGCCACUGCAGCUCCAUGGAGGUCAGCAGCACUGACUGCCCGUGGAGAACCUUGCACCGGGGACCUAGCAGAUCUCCUGCUGCUGCCACACAGGCAAAGGAGGAAGCAGGAAUGAGAAAGCAAAUGCGAUAGGGAAAGAUAGAAACAGAAAAUGUGGGAGGGAACUGAAAGCAUCUCCCUUCUACUUGCACAACUUUAUCUCCAGCUUUUCAAGUUUGUGCUCCGCAUCACCUCUGUUAUAAGCAGAACCUUGUUUCCCUUCUUGUCUAAGAACACACAAUGAAGUUUAGGCUCAAAAAUCCUUUAGUAAUUUAACACUCAAAAUCACUUUAACCCCAUAUCCCAUGUGGUUUUAAUGCACCUGCAAAAAUACAGGUGCGGAAACAACAGACUAGUGCAACAUGUUUUAUACAAUGCACAUACACGCUCAAGACAGUUUACACAAUGCACUGUUUAGUGUUCAGAGUGGUAGGCAGGAGAUCAAGAAAUCCUAGAUUUUAAUUUUACUUUGGGCACUGACUUGGUCUGCAGCUUUGAGUGAAUCACUUGCAGUUUAUGUUUCAGUUUUAUUACCUGAAAAAAAUUGGGAGAUAUUACUUAUAAGCCUUGUAAAACUUCCAGGAAACUCCCCUAAAAAGCUAACUGUUAAUUACAUUUCAGCAGAAGCUGAAAUGUCUCCGUGUACCAUUCACAGAAGCAGCACUACAGAAACAGAAGUACACGAUACAGAAGAUAUGGCAUAUUUCUUUUAACAAUUGGGUGUAUGAUGGUGUUGAAGGCCUGGUUCUGUAAAGUACUCUGGAAGAAAAGUGGGAAUUUCCUUAGGCAUCGAGUUAUAGACUGAGAAAUUUGAACAUGCCAGCAUUCUUGAAAAAAGUAAUUUCAAAUACAUUAUUAUGUGCAUACUCUCAUGAUGCUAAUUUGAACAGCAUGCCUGCAUGUGCGUUUUAAGUUCAAAAACAUCUGAACCCCCUUUCUGCUACUUGCGUGUAGAUUGAUAUCGCUUAACCUUCAUAUUCUUACAGAGCUCACCCUGAACUUUCUGCCAUGCUAAAUCUAUCAUACUACAUAUUUACUUACCAUUAUAGAAGUCUUUUACUACAUAAGUAAAUACUGAAAUAUUUACACAGGUUAACCGUGAUAUUGGUUGACAUAGAAUAAAAAUACAGUUCCACUGCGCUGCUGUCCUGUAUUUCAGCAUCAUACUUCCACUGUCAUCUUUGUCUCCUCCAGUUUGUUCUGACCUAUGUGUACUCAUAAAGCCCUUGAUGAUCUGAUAAUCUACCAAGCAGAGCAGGCUGUGACUGGACGGAGUCACCCCUAGUAUCACCCUGGGAAGAAACUCUGAUUCACCGAAGCAGAAUACAGCCAUCAGACCAAGACUUACGCCCUGUGUGUCUGUCACUGAAGUGAACUGCUUGCCAUAGUCGCGCUCAGCCAGGGUAGAAGGGAGCAGGAGCAUGCCCACCGUAUCCCUCUCAUUGCUGGCAAGGCGAGCCCCAUGCUGAAACAGCACAAGGGCCACCCACAUUCUGACAGCAACAUUUUCUCAUGGCCUACAUCCUUUCCUUCAGAAAACUUCCAUUUAUAGUUCACAUCUUGUGCUCAGCUUGUUUUGCACUGGUUUGCGCAUACCAGCAUUCAGUUAGCAUCUCCAAAUAGUAAGGACUAUCAGGUAAGGGCCGUGCGACUUGCAUGCACGCUUUCCCAUCCGGGCGUUUGAGAUCUGGAGGAUUGCUGCAGACCAGACCUUCUUUCAGAAUUUUGUUUAAUCCACCGCAUAGCAUUGUGCAACCUGCAAUUCUGCAACAGAGAACGAUAUUGAUUUCACUUAUCGCCUCUGCCCUUUGUUAUUGGCACCAGAUGAGAAGAAAAAAAUGAGCUGUGAGAUAAUUAGAUGGAGACAUGUCCUAAAACUUAAAAAAACACCAGGGGAUCUUUGAUCUAGACAGUGCCUGAUUCAUAGUAAGAUAUGGAAACUUCUGAGUGCCUCACUGAGGGGAAAAAGUGAGAAGCUGAAUGGCUUUUGUAUGGUCAUCAUAAUGCAAACUGAAGGCGCUAAUGCUGAAAGAUUAGGAAAUUCAGAAAAAACACUUUUCCCUUUUCCUUCAGCUAAUCUUCUCUCUGUAUGACUGUAGCAUCUAAAAAUUGUGUAUGACUUAAUACUGAAAAAAAAGCCAAAGCCGCCUAUACUGGAGAGACCACAAUAAAAUUCAGCUUACAAGCUGAAUUAGUCAUAAUGUACAUUACUGUGUGCUGUUGAAGUGAGUUAUCUGUACAGUGUAGGUAUCAGCCAGUGCAAACAAAUACUCUCGUCCAAGGAGGGAAAUCUACACCGCUCGUGGUGUUCAAUAAUCAAACCCUGUCUGUCUACUACUUCAGCAGAGCAGAUGACUUUUUCUCCAUUUUCAAACAUUAUAUAAAAAUUGAAAAAGAAAAGAAAGGAAAAAUACAGGCCAAAUUUGUGCUGAUCUAGAAUAGGGUUGUUCAAGUGGUACAUUAACUCCAGAAACAUUUCAGAACCAUUCUCAAGGGAACCAUGCUUAUGUGAGUUGAAAUUGCUAUUGCCUCUAAAGAGGAAGGGAGAAAAGGUGAAAAAAAAAAAGAGGUGAAUAGACGAGUGUAAGAUUUACUAAUUCAGAGAGAAACAGUCCGUGUAUUUUCACAGAGUAAAUCUCCGUGGAGAUACUGGAUAAUACGUCGCAUAAUGACUGCCAAAUAUCUCAUUUUAUUAGGGUGGCCCAUUCUCAAAUGAAUGCAUAUUAUCUUUACAGGUUUGUGACCACAACGUUGAAGUAAAAGGAAUUUUGCAGUUCACUUUGGUUAGAGAGGGAUUCACCUCUAUUUUCUACUAUUUUUCCAAACCAUGUUCGCUUUUAAUAUAAAUGCAUCUGACACUUUUUCUAGUAUUUGGAAGAGUAUUAAAAGAACCAGUCAUAACAAUUUGAUGCCUGCAAUUUCAGGCGGCGUUCAGAGUGAUAUUUAAUCUCUGCGUCAUCUCCUGCCAAAACCAUACCAUAGCACAAUGCCAUAGUAUGGGAAAGGCAGUAAGAAUCCAUUAUCCUCACUGCAGUUCCAGCAACUGUUACUACAUAUGUUACGUUUGAACGCUCUGGUUAUGUAUUCAUCUCAAUUUCAGAUACAAUUAAAAACUUCUUGAGAAUUCCACAGGCUUUGUCACCAAUUCAGAUUUAAGUUAAUUCAUCAGCAGUGCCUGCACUUGACUAGCAUUUUAAUGAAAGAAAAAACCAUGAAUUUAUGCACCACGGAGUGCAAACCGUUCAGAAACAGCUUCUUCAUGGUAACAGACACUGCUAAAACUUGCUAAGUGCUUGCAGACACAUAUUUCCAAACUGGAUUUUGAUAGGAAUUCUGCUUGAGCAAGGAUUUCAAGCUUGAUUCCUGCAUUUCAUGUAUGCCUGCUAGUAUUAAUUUCAGUUACCCAACUCUGUACCUUUUUAAUAGAGAGCAAUACAACUUCGAGCCUUAAUUCCACAUGAUAUUUACACUGUUCAGUAAAUUUAUCCACAAACAAGGAAGUCAUAGUGUUGCUUCUAAUUUUAUCACUAACUGAACAACCAUGGAAGAACUGCACUUUUUGAUGUCACAGAACUACAUGUUUUGUAGUAUCAAUAAAAAUAAAUGCAUUUGUUUUUCCUAAACAAAACUCGAUUGUUUCUAUUUUAUGGCUUUGUAUGUCAGGCUACAGCAAAACAGCAACUUCCUCUUUUGAAAAGGAACGACAGCAAUUAAUUUUCUUAUGCAUCAAUACAGAAUUGUUACUAAUAAAAUGACCUAACACUUAACUCUGUUUA